This 506-nucleotide ribosomal RNA is filed under the name uncultured bacterium. Its description in RNAcentral is "bacterial SSU rRNA". It matches the Rfam family "Bacterial small subunit ribosomal RNA", at positions 15 to 518 of the family's 1533-position model. The record is from RNAcentral.
GAUUCUGGCUCAGGAUGAACGCUGGCGGCGUGCCUAACACAUGCAAGUCGAACGGAAACUAAGCGCUUCGGAGACUUCGGUCAAUGUUUGCUUGGUUUAGUGGCGGACGGGUGAGUAACGCGUGGAUAACCUGCCUCAUACAGGGGGAUAACAGUUAGAAAUGACUGCUAAUACCGCAUAAGCGCACGGAAUCGCAUGUUUCUGUGUGAAAAGCUCCGACGGUAUGAGAUGGAUCCGCGUCUGAUUAGCUAGUUGGCGGGGUAACAGCCCACCAAGGCGACGAUCAGUAGCCGGCCUGAGAGGGUGAACGGCCACAUUGGGACUGAGACACGGCCCAAACUCCUACGGGAGGCAGCAGUGGGGGAUAUUGCACAAUGGGGGAAACCCUGAUGCAGCGAACCGCCGCGUGAGUGAAGAAGUAUUUCGGUAUGUAAAGCUCUAUCAGCAGGGAAGAUAAUGACGGUACCUGACUAAGAAGCACCGGCUAAAUACGUGCCAGCCGCAGC